Molecule: transfer RNA, 83 nt
Filed under: Bacteroides sp.
Lineage: Bacteria; Pseudomonadati; Bacteroidota; Bacteroidia; Bacteroidales; Bacteroidaceae
Also listed under: 1 other name
Description: tRNA-Tyr
Rfam family: tRNA
About the family: Transfer RNA (tRNA) molecules are approximately 80 nucleotides in length.
Source: RNAcentral
GGGCAAAUUCCAGAGUGGCCAAAUGGGACUGACUGUAACUCAGUUGUCUUUCGACUUCGGAGGUUCGAAUCCUUCUUUGCCCA